AAGCAAUCUAUACGGUGAAACUGCGAAUGGCUCAUUAAAUCAGUUAUCGUUUAUUUGAUAGUACCUUACUACUUGGAUAACCGUGGUAAUUCUAGAGCUAAUACAUGCUAAAAACCUCGACUUCGGAAGGGGUGUAUUUAUUAGAUAAAAAACCAAUGCCCUUCGGGGCUCCUUGGUGAUUCAUAAUAACUUAACGAAUCGCAUGGCCUUGUGCCGGCGAUGGUUCAUUCAAAUUUCUGCCCUAUCAACUUUCGAUGGUAGGAUAGUGGCCUACCAUGGUUUCAACGGGUAACGGGGAAUUAGGGUUCUAUUCCGGAGAGGGAGCCUGAGAAACGGCUGCCACAUCCAAGGAAGGCAGCAGGCGCGCAAAUUACCCAAUCCCGACACGGGGAGGUAGUGACAAUAAAUACUGAUACAGGGCUCUUUUGGGUCUUGUAAUUGGAAUGAGUACAAUUUAAAUCCCUUAACGAGGAACAAUUGGAGGGCAAGUCUGGUGCCAGCAGCCGCGGUAAUUCCAGCUCCAAUAGCGUAUAUUAAAGUUGUUGCAGUUAAAAAGCUCGUAGUUGAACCUUGAGCCUGGCUGGCCGGUCCGCCUCACCGCGUGCACUGGUCCGGCCGGGUUUUUCCUUCUGGGGAGCCGCAUGCCCUUCACUGGGUGUGUCGGGGAACCAGGACUUUUACUUUGAAAAAAUUAGAGUGUUCAAAGCAGGCCUAUGCUCGAAUACAUUAGCAUGGAAUAAUAGAAUAGGACGUGUGGUUCUAUUUUGUUGGUUUCUAGGACCGCCGUAAUGAUUAAUAGGGAUAGUCGGGGGCAUCAGUAUUCAAUUGUCAGAGGUGAAAUUCUUGGAUUUAUUGAAGACUAACUACUGCGAAAGCAUUUGCCAAGGAUGUUUUCAUUAAUCAGUGAACGAAAGUUAGGGGAUCGAAGACGAUCAGAUACCGUCGUAGUCUUAACCAUAAACUAUGCCGACUAGGGAUCGGGCGAUGUUAUUUUUUUGACUCGCUCGGCACCUUACGAGAAAUCAAAGUCUU
Molecule: ribosomal RNA, 1032 nt
Filed under: Rhexocercosporidium carotae
Lineage: Eukaryota; Fungi; Ascomycota; Leotiomycetes; Helotiales
Description: SSU rRNA
Rfam family: Eukaryotic small subunit ribosomal RNA
Source: RNAcentral